ACUGGGUGCGGUGGCACGUGCCUAUAGUCCCAGCCACUCGGGUGGCUGUGGGAGGAUCGCUUGAGCCCAGGAGUUCUGGGCUGUAGUGCGCCAUGCUGAUCAGGUGUUCUCACUAAGUUCGGCAUCAGUAUGGUGACCUCCCGGGAGCAGGGGACUACCAGGUUGCCUAAGAAGGGGUAAACUGGCCCAGGUCAGAAAUGGAGCGGGUCAAAACUCCCGUGCUGAUCAGUAGUCGGAUCUCGCCUGUGAAUAGCCACUGCACUCCAGCCUGGGCAACAUAGCGAGACCCUGUCUCUU
Callithrix jacchus (white-tufted-ear marmoset) is the source of this 297-nucleotide unclassified non-coding RNA. It matches the Rfam family "Metazoan signal recognition particle RNA". From Rfam's summary of the family: The signal recognition particle (SRP) is a universally conserved ribonucleoprotein. It is involved in the co-translational targeting of proteins to membranes. The record is from Ensembl. NCBI's taxonomy places the organism in Eukaryota, Metazoa, Chordata, Mammalia, Primates, Cebidae.